AUGAACGCUAGCGACAGGCUUAACACAUGCAAGUCGAGGGGCAGCGGGGUGCAGCAAUGCACCGCCGGCGACCGGCGCACGGGUGCGUAACGCGUAUGCAACCUGCCCUCCAGCCCGGGAUAACCCGGCGAAAGUCGGACUAAUACCGGAUGAAACAGGGGCCCCGCAUGGGGAUGUUUGUUAAAGGUUCACCACUGGAGGAUGGGCAUGCGUUCCAUUAGGCAGUUGGCGGGGUAACGGCCCACCAAGCCUUCGAUGGAUAGGGGUUCUGAGAGGAAGGUCCCCCACACUGGUACUGAGACACGGACCAGACUCCUACGGGAGGCAGCAGUGAGGAAUAUUGGUCAAUGGGCGAGAGCCUGAACCAGCCAAGUCGCGUGCAGGACGACGGCCCUACGGGUUGUAAACUGCUUUUGCGGGGGAAUAAAGUGGAGGACGCGUCCUCUUUUGCAUGUACCCCGCGAAUAAGCAUCGGCUAACUCCGUGCCAGCCGCCGCGGUAAUAC
RNAcentral lists this ribosomal RNA (505 nucleotides) under uncultured bacterium. RNAcentral's name for it is "bacterial SSU rRNA". It matches the Rfam family "Bacterial small subunit ribosomal RNA", at positions 29 to 526 of the family's 1533-position model. The record is from RNAcentral.